Bos taurus (domestic cattle) is the source of this 505-nucleotide long non-coding RNA. Lineage: Eukaryota; Metazoa; Chordata; Mammalia; Artiodactyla; Bovidae. The record is from Ensembl.
GACCUGGUCCCAGGGAGAUGAGAGCUCAGAAAAGCUUUGCCUGUCUGCUGUUUCACUUGUUCUCCUGAAGAAAUUCUGCAGGAACUCGCCAAGGCUGAGUGACCUCAGACUGGGCAAUGGGUGUGCUAGAGCUAAGCUCGGGUGAUAUCAAAAUAUCUAACACAGGUGUGGGGUGGGCAGUGGCCCUCCACCAGCCAGCUCGUGGCAGAGAUGUCCUGGAGGUUCUCCUGCUUUGCCAGCUGUUAACCCUUUAGAAUUUCUAGCAGGUUGAGGCGCCUGGUCCGCGAGAUGCUGAAUGGCAAAUUCUGUCAAACUAGAUACUACCAAGGCGAUCCCCAGGGCAAGAUUGCUCCGUUACACGCAACUGUCCAGGAAGUGCCUUUGCAAGAGUGUCUUCGAUGAAAGAAUGGAACCUAUGAGAGGUGUGGAGAAGAACUCACUUUCAUCAAAGGAUCGGCUUUCAGGAUGGUCUGGGAGCCCAGAGCAUUAUUGUAUUACACACCAC